GUGCUCACUUGAGCAGCACAUACACUAAAAUUGGGAUGAUACAGAGAAGAUUAGCAUGGCUCCUGCACAGGAUGACACUCUAAUUCCUGAAGCAGUCCUUAUGGGU
Small nuclear RNA from Indicator indicator, 106 nucleotides. NCBI's taxonomy places the organism in Eukaryota, Metazoa, Chordata, Aves, Piciformes, Indicatoridae. The record is from RefSeq and is a predicted model, not a curated record.